AUUUUUCAAACUGAAUCUUGAUUCAGUGUCUAGCAUGCCAUGGGGAAGGAGUGAAAACACACCCUGAUGAAAACCCAUCCAGAGUCAGCACAUUUGAGAAGUUCCACUGUGAGCAUCAAGAGCUCACCACCUCCAAAAGCACACGGCCUGGACAGCCACUCCCUGAAGCAAAUCUGCCAUGUAUCCAUAUAUUCAUGCUGUACUGGGAGAAACAGUUGGAUAGGGGCAUGGUGUUUGUCUUCACAAAGCUCACAGGACUGAGAUGAUGACGUAAGGAAGUAGUCACAAGGCAGUAUGGAUAGCAGGCAAGAACUGGGGUCCCGGGGCCGCACUGCCUGGAUUCCAAGCCUGAUUUUGCAUGCAUGACUUGAGACUUCAGGGGCAAGUCCAGCCAGUCAGCAAGCCACCUGAAUUUACAGGAGUGACAUUUCCACGUUAUUCAAAUUCAAAACAAGCCUACUCGGUGAACCUCAGCCCCAAGGAAUUCACAGUGCUCUACAUCGACUCCCAAUUUGCAAUUCUAGCAUCUCACUGAGACCAGGCAGUACAGAAAGAGACCUUGUGUUUUGUGACAAGUUCUUCUUUCAAGUCUUCAUGCUCAAAGAGAAUUGACUACAGAGUGUCAGGUGUCCUUCAGCUGAGAUUUAACAAGCAGCUCUCUGCCCUUGCAUUCUAGAAUUCACAUGUAUCAAGCAAGCCAUUCUAUUCCAAUCCUCAGUACCUGGCACACCUCUAUUUAUUUUUCAAGGCUCAAAAUCACAUUACAAGCAUUAUUCCCUCUGUGAAGUCUUCCAUUACCUCUCAACUUCCAGCCAGUCGUGGGAAGCUAGAUGGCCCCUCCUUGGGGCAGCAAUUGAGAUGUCAUCUGUACAGAGCUUAUCACAUGGAACUGUGGCUAUGGGACCGGGCUGAUUCAUGGAGGAGCAUCAGCCACGAUGGUCUGUGCUGUGCCAGAUUCCACUGGACUAAGUUAGUUACCUGCUUCCAGUAGUUAUGCAAACUGACUGGAGGCAGGUAACUAAUGGGUGGUGAAUGCCAAGAAGGUCUGAGAUCUGUGCCCGAAGAGCAAGAGUCAGAUCUGGGUAGUGAGUUUAAGGUCUUAAAUAGGAAAUUAGGAGCAGAGAGAAUUUGGAACAGAUUGGGGAGUGGGGUGGGAGACUUAGGUCUAAGACUUAGGCUAUUAAGAAAACAAAGACAUCAGUCUAGUUCUCUCUGUUCCUGGUGCAAAGAGAUCACAGAAAUUAGAGGCAAAUAAAUAGUUGUCUCUUUUGCCUGUCUGUCUUAACUUCUAGCCUGUGAAUUCAUUGAGGACAUGGCUUAUCUUAAUAUUCCCACCCUAGCAGAGUACCUGGCUGGUUGAAAUAAUGAAUGGGCUGAUGGACUUAGACAUUCAAAUUCAGUACUUAGGGUUGCUACUCCAUAUUUUUUUCUCUGUUAUAUCUAAUUCAGCUUUUAUUUAUAACCUUAUUGUAAAAAUUGUUUCCCUGUGAGACUAUAAUGAAAGUUAUAGUAGAAUUUUACCAAAUGUGACAUUUGUCCUCUUGUUUAUAACAAUCUCUAAGAAAUAUCAUUAUAUUCUAUAUAUUUUUCAUAAAUUUUGAAUUUCCUUUGCAUAUACAUGGUUACUUUUUUGUCCUUGGAAAAUGAGAACUUCAUUUCUUAAUUAUAUUGGACAAAUAUUAACAUGUCUCUUAAUAUCUAAGAAUGCCAUUUGUUACAUAUAUAAGUAGCUGGAUAUAAUGUACACACAUAAUUAAGAUUUAAAUAUAUUUGGACAACUAUUGAAGCAUAUUAUUUUGUAGAUAUUUGUCUCCACCUAUAGAAAACAUUGCCCAUGUAAUUUUAUCAAUUACAUAGAGGCACAAAAUGAUGAAGAUGAGUAAAAUUAACAAUAAAGUAUAUUUGGAUAUUCAUGUUCAAGUGUUAUUUUUAAAAAUUAGCAGAUUUAGCAAUCUGAGACAACAGAAUUGGACCAAAACAGGACCCAAAGUAUGAAGAUGCUAAAAAAAAAUUGGUAAGUUUAAUACCCACUGAUGUUUAUAAGAUAAAUUAUAAAGUAAAGCUGAUUCUUUGUGUACUUUGGAUUUAAAAACAAUAUGAUUUGUAUACAUUGAGGAAAAAAAAAAAACAAGGAAAUGCUCAUAAAAUGCCAUAUGAGGUAGCCUAGAUUUUCAAGCUAGCUUCUGAUGGCUUUCCAGAGCUUUUUGGAUGUUGAUAGUUUUUGUUUGUUUGUUUGUUUUUGUUUUUUGAAUCGGAGUCUCCCGCUGUCACCAGGCUGGAGUGCAGUGGCACCAUCUCAGCUCACUAAAACCUCCACCUCCUUGGUUCAAGUGACCUUCCUGCCUCAGCCUCCCGAGUAGCUGGGACUACAGGUGCACUCCACCAAGCCCAGCUAUUUUUUCUUAUUUUUAGUAGAGAUGGGAUUUCACCAUGUUGGCCAGGAUGGUCUCAAUUUCUUGACCUUGUGAUCCGCCUGCCUCAGCCUCCCAAAGUGCUGGGAUUACAGGCAUGAGCUACUGUGCCCUGCCAGAUGUUGAUAGUUUUAAGGAAAUCAUUUCUCAGACCUUCGACUUUCAAAUGUGCUCCUUUCCAAAAUUGCCGCCUGAGGACUAUAUGGCCUCAGUGUGCUGCUUCUCCUUUGCCAGUCCCAUUUCAUUUUACAAAAUCCUACCAAAGGGACACUUUGGGAAUGCAUAAUUAAAAAACUCUUUGCUGACUCUCCUUGAUUAGAUCUUAAAAGUUAUUUUUGUAGAUUCUUUUAAAAGCAAAACACUUAUGACAAUUACAAGAGAGUUAUAUAUGUAGGUGAAAUCUAUAAAAAGGCUUUCAACUCAAAAUUCAGUAAAAAGUUAUUACUUGCAAGCAUCGAUAAGCAAAUGUGUUUUUUUUGUUUGUUUUACCUUAGAAAACCUAGUGCAGUGCACUGUUUAUGUAAGAUCGAUAAAUAUUGACUUCUCUACCUGACUUGUUAUACAAAUGGAAAAUGUUUGAAACUCAUAAAAUAUUUUACAAUAUUUUCAGCCAGGCCAACAACACAUCAUCAUUUGAUACUGUAUGAAUAAAAUAUUUAGGCCUUAAUUUCUUAAACCAAUUUUAUAAAAUAUCUAUGUAACAAUAGAAAAAUUAAUGUAAUUGUUAUGUAGGCUCUUUAAUGCAAUUUAUCAAAUGAAUCUGAGAGCUUCAACUACUUCUUUAGAAAAAGUGUAAUAUUCUGAAAAGUUCUGUGUAACUGAUAUUAUCUGUAAUUAACAGCUA
RNAcentral lists this long non-coding RNA (3255 nucleotides) under Homo sapiens (human). RNAcentral's name for it is "HSALNT0079063". Lineage: Eukaryota; Metazoa; Chordata; Mammalia; Primates; Hominidae. The record is from RNAcentral.